RNAcentral lists this ribosomal RNA (483 nucleotides) under uncultured bacterium. Its description in RNAcentral is "bacterial SSU rRNA". It matches the Rfam family "Bacterial small subunit ribosomal RNA", at positions 28 to 526 of the family's 1533-position model. The record is from RNAcentral.
GACGAACGCUGGCGGCGUGCUUAACACAUGCAAGUCGAGCGGAAAGGCCACUUCGGUGGUACUCGAGCGGCGAACGGGUGAGUAACACGUGAGUAAUCUGCCCUCUACUUGGGGAUAACCUCCGGAAACGGUGGCUAAUACCCGAUAUGACCGAUGACUGCAUGGUUGUUGGUGGAAAGUUUUUUCGGUAGGGGAUGUGCUCGCGGCCUAUCAGCUUGUUGGUGGGGUAAUGGCCUACCAAGGCUUCGACGGGUAGCCGGCCUGAGAGGGUGACCGGCCACACUGAGACUGAGACACGGCCCAGACUCCUACGGGAGGCAGCAGUGGGGAAUAUUGGACAAUGGGCGGAAGCCUGAUCCAGCAACGCCGCGUGAGGGAUGACGGCCUUCGGGUUGUAAACCUCUUUCACCUGUGACGAAGCGAAAGUGACGGUAGCAGGAGAAGAAGCACCGGCCAACUACGUGCCAGCAGCCGCAGUAAGAC